AACGAACGCUGGCGGCAUGCCUAACACAUGCAAGUCGAACGAGACCUUCGGGUCUAGUGGCGCACGGGUGCGUAACGCGUGGGAACCUGCCCUUAGGUUCGGCAUAACUCCCCGAAAGGGGUGCUAAUACCGGAUAAUGUCUUCGGACCAAAGAUUUAUCGCCUUUGGAUGGGCCCGCGUUGGAUUAGCUAGUUGGUAGGGUAAAAGCCUACCAAGGCGACGAUCCAUAGCUGGUCUGAGAGGAUGAUCAGCCACACUGGGACUGAGACACGGCCCAGACUCCUACGGGAGGCAGCAGUGGGGAAUAUUGGACAAUGGGCGAAAGCCUGAUCCAGCAAUGCCGCGUGAGUGAUGAAGGCCUUAGGGUUGUAAAGCUCUUUUACCCGGGAUGAUAAUGACAGUACCGGGAGAAUAAGCGCCGGCUAACUCCGUG
RNAcentral lists this ribosomal RNA (433 nucleotides) under uncultured bacterium. RNAcentral describes it as "partial 16S ribosomal RNA". It matches the Rfam family "Bacterial small subunit ribosomal RNA", at positions 29 to 507 of the family's 1533-position model. The record is from RNAcentral.